AACAGGCUUUCAAAUAAUUGCAUCUCUUGAAGAGCCUUAAAAAUAUGAAACACAUAUCCAUCUCUAUGAAGUGAUUUGGGGAAAAUUGUACUGAUGAAAGGAAUCUGAGUGGCUAAGAUGACUUUGAAAGGGACCUUGUAACUUGAGGACACAGUGUUCCAGGAGGAGCAAUGGAAAUCAGGGAAUAGGAUCUCCUGCAAAAUAUUCACAACUCUUUGAAAUGGAAAUCAGGCUAUUUCAAUUUAGGAAUCGAAUUAAAGCAAAUAUUCGGGGUGUUGGCAGGCUGUGCUGGAGCCUGUUUGAAGCAGCAGCUAACGAAGGGAAGCGUGCUUUUCCCCGGAUGGAGCAGGAUCUCACGCAGCCUGUUUUCAUCUUAGCACCUGCUGGCUUGGAGUGGUGUCACCCAAGCAAUCAGAGGGAGUCUGUGCCAGGAGCCUGACCUCCCCGUGUUUGCUGCCCUUCCCCCACACCCCAUGGCAGACUGUCCUGAUAUAGAUGGACAGGGGACUGGUUUAAAAUGACAGUCUCAAGUUCUUUUAGGAAGAGAAGGCUAAUUCAAAGAAACAGCCAGACAAGCUUUCUUUCUCUUCAGACGUCGUCAUUGCCCCGCUCCUCCAUGGCCCAUCUGGGAGCCCAUUUUGCCUUUAGAUCCCGCUGGCAGAAGACCGACGGUGAACUCUGCCGGCACAGCAUGUCCUUCAUCCUUCACCGAGCCAUUCGCAAUGACUUCUUUCAGAGCUACCUCUACCUGCUGGAGAAAAUUCCCCUGGAUGAGAACACUGCGGUCAAGAGAGAAAAUCAUUCACACGGUGAACACAGAGAACGCUGGCACUGUCACAUGCUGUCUGGCCGAGGCUCGGUGCACUUUCUCCCACCUACUGGGCUGGAGCAAAUGACCAAUUUAGCAUGAAGGGUGCUGGGAGAACCCCUCUGGCGUGGAGAAGAUGACCUCAUGCUGUGUUCUCCAGGUCGGCUCCACGGCAGCUGAAGAGGAGGAUGGAGAGGCCCUGCAAGAAAAGCUGACUCCUUCUAGCUGCAGAGGUUGUGCGAUGGAGAAGAGGGAGAGAGAGAGCAGCACAGAUGUCCCCCUUCCCAGUGAGCCCGUCAAAGAGGUAUGACAUAAUUUCCACUGGACGGACGUAACACACAGAGUCUGGGUCACUGCUGGGGGUCGCACCAUGGAGCCGAGCGGUGGCAGCCUGCUGUCGGACUCCUGAGUAUGCUCUCUCAGCCAGAACACCAGGACAUCUGUACCUGGCAAGUGAGUCCAGGCCUUCACCCGUGAGCGUUCUUUCGUACUCUACGGGACGACUUUCCUUAGCCCCUCUGUAAGCCUGGGGAGUUGAUUCUGCUGCCCAGCUGAAAUAUACAGAGUUCAGAGGCUGCACGGCUACACUUGGGGCAUGUAUGUCAUUAAAAGAAUGAAGAAAAGAUGAUGGCGGUGCUGUGUUACACCCCCUGGAAAUGCUGGCGGAAUUCGUGGCUCCAGGCUCUUUUACCUGACAGGCGUCAGUUUGGUGAAGCAGUUUCCUUCUUACCUUUUCUACCUCUCUCUGUCUCCCCCUCCCCUCCUCUCCUUCCUUCCGUCCUUCUUCUUUCCUCCCUCCCUCUCUUCCCUGCUCUCUCUCUUUUCCCCUCUUUCAUUUACUUCCCAUCCUCUUCUCGGCCACAGAAUAUCUGGGUGUUGUUUUCACCCCUGGAAAGGCCGAUACCACAAGGUCUCUGUCCGUCUCGGCUUCUCUUGACUGUCUUCUGCACCUUGGGUGUAGACUGUUCUUCCUCUGCCCAGACACACUCUUUUCUCUCUGACUCAGGAUUCCCUGAAUCCGCCCCUGUUUAUCUGAGCUGUCCCCGUGGGGAAUACGGGGUCAACACACAGUGUGACCUCAGGAGUGAUUUCAGUUACAGCAGCUCCCACGUGAUCCAUCAGACUCAGCAGGAAUUUUAAUGGACUCAGAACCCCUUCUCCUGCCUGAGGUCACUGGCUCUCAGAGCAAAUCUUCCACAAACUGACAUGGACCCUGGAGAAGUUGUCUGCUCUGUCAAGAGAGGUAUGGAUCUUGCCUUCAGAUCUCUGGGGCAUGCUGUCCCCCUCCAUGGAACUGGAGGGAAACACCAAGCCAUUAGAGAGUAUAGAAUUACUAUGGUUUAAUGUGGAAAAAUCCAGCCCACUCAGAGCCGAUCCGGUGUCUGACAGCAGGGGCGGGAGCCCGAGGCUGGGUUCUGCUCUGGCUUUGCCCUUGACAAGCCGCGCGGCUGGGCAAGUCGCCUGCUUGCCUUAGGUUCAGGCCACAAGCUGUAUGGAGGGCUGGUGAUGAGACCCCCAGUUCUGUGGGGGCGAGCUGAGGAGGGCAGGGUGGGAGGUGAAAACAUGGCAGCGAGCCUUCGAGCCUUCGUCCUCAAAAGUACAGAACCCAGUCUCCCAAAGUCCCGAGCGGUGGGAGAAGGACAAACAAUGGCGCUUCAGGGUCACUGGCAACACAGGCAUGUGAUCCAGGGCUCUGUUCAUCUCUGCUGCCAGCCAGAAAGCCACCUGGGCACAAGGACUGUGCCUCUCAUCUCUGUGUCCUCUCCUCUGCGACUGCUUGUUGAGUGUGGGGAAAUGGGAGGAGCCUCGGUGACACUCAGGAAGAGCAAGAGGCAGAAGGAGGCAGGGAUCCAGCAGAAGAGCACUGGGGAAGUGCAGGGGCCACAGUAAGGGCCGGCGAUCGAUGGAUCGGCAGCCCCAGGAGAGGAGAGUGGCUGCUCACUGUCAUGCCCCCACCUCCCACACCUCUUAUAAGCACAUAAGCAGAGGCCUCUCUUUUCCCACUUUUUAAAAAACUGGAAUACUAUAUACAAUCUGCUUCCUGUAUCUUGCUGUUUUGCUUUCAAAAUGCUGUAAAAUCCCUCUAGGUCAAUUAGGAGCCAUCCACCUCUCUUAACUCAAUCUUUUUAAACAAUGUCAUUGACAAGUAAAAUUCAUGUAUUUUCAAGA
Molecule: non-coding RNA, 2977 nt
Organism: Ictidomys tridecemlineatus (thirteen-lined ground squirrel)
Lineage: Eukaryota; Metazoa; Chordata; Mammalia; Rodentia; Sciuridae
Source: RefSeq, a predicted model, not a curated record